This 74-nucleotide transfer RNA is filed under the name Patiria miniata (bat star). RNAcentral's name for it is "tRNA-Phe". It matches the Rfam family "tRNA". From Rfam's summary of the family: Transfer RNA (tRNA) molecules are approximately 80 nucleotides in length. Lineage: Eukaryota; Metazoa; Echinodermata; Asteroidea; Valvatida; Asterinidae. The record is from RNAcentral.
AGCUCGGUGGUCGAGUGGUAAGACGUCUGCACUAAAAAUGCAGGAGGUUGUGGGUUCGAGUCCCACCCGAGUGA